CCAUUUAACAGGUGAGGAAACUAAGGCAGAGAAGUAAGAAUCCUGGUCCAGUCACUCAUUUGAGGACCUGGGCUGCCAGCCAGGGCUCCUGACCUGCUGCCAGAUCCAAGCAAGAGCCUGUGCUGGGCAUAGGGAGAGAGGUACAGGACAGAGAACCUGUACUUCCAUUUGAAGCCACAGAACAAGGCGUUUCUCCUGAAAGUGCCCAGCACAAAGUCUUCGAGGAUGACGCCUCUGUGGACAGGGGAGCCCAUCUCUGUCUUCACAGGAGAUGGAAGCCUGGAGCCCACAGCUUGCCCAGGCCUUGGCUGUGCCGUUACCAAGUGACCAGUUCUGAGGCCUCCCCCGAGGCCACUUGGGAGCUGACAGGCGGAUGUGGCUUCCCUCGUCCCAGCUCCUGCUUCCCAGCCAGGGACCCUGAGACCCAGCUCGGGGUAAUGAGGGGAAGUAACAGAUACAUCUAUUUUUAAUCCAAAUAAAGGGAAAAUGUUUGCCACCACAGAGUUUAUAAAAAUAACAAUGCAUUAUUUGGGCAUUAAUAACAAUAAAGAUGUCAAACUGUCAGAUAAGAAGUUAAUCUCAUUCUGAGCACAAUUAAAGACGCUAUUAUCCCACCACCUGGGGCCACUCUGACUUUUACCACGCAGCAGGCUUAAUAGAUAAAGGGGCCACGCACAGAGCACAGGGAGUGCUUGGCACUGCCCGCCUGCCCAGCCUGCAACAUGCUGCCACUGCCAGACCUUUCCCUCAGCGUUCCCAGCUCAAGGACUCAGGCCCAGCACAGCAGGACACUCAGGGCUGAAGGUGAGGACAGAGCAAGCUGGGACCUGGGCCUGUGCACCUGCCUGUCACCAGUCCGGCUCUGAUCCAGGACACAAAACCCCUGGCCCGUACAAUGUAUGCACCGAGGGGACCCC
This 917-nucleotide long non-coding RNA is filed under the name Chinchilla lanigera (long-tailed chinchilla). Its description in RNAcentral is "lncRNA (ENSCLAG00000027536.1)". The record is from RNAcentral. Lineage: Eukaryota; Metazoa; Chordata; Mammalia; Rodentia; Chinchillidae.